CACGCCGUAAACGAUGAAUGCUAGGUGUUAGGGAGCCCGAUCUCCUUAGUGCCGAAGUUAACACAUUAAGCAUUCCGCCUGGGGAGUACGGCCGCAAGGCUGAAACUCAAAGGAAUUGACGGGGACCCGCACAAGCAGUGGAGCAUGUGGUUUAAUUCGAAGCAACGCGAAGAACCUUACCAGGUCUUGACAUCCCGCUGACCGGGCCAGAGAUGGUCCUUUCCUUCGGGACAGCGGAGACAGGUGG
RNAcentral lists this ribosomal RNA (247 nucleotides) under uncultured Paenibacillaceae bacterium. RNAcentral's name for it is "partial 16S ribosomal RNA". It matches the Rfam family "Bacterial small subunit ribosomal RNA", at positions 796 to 1041 of the family's 1533-position model. The record is from RNAcentral. Lineage: Bacteria; Bacillati; Bacillota; Bacilli; Caryophanales; Paenibacillaceae.